Molecule: ribosomal RNA, 253 nt
Filed under: uncultured bacterium
Lineage: Bacteria
Description: partial 16S ribosomal RNA
Rfam family: Bacterial small subunit ribosomal RNA
Source: RNAcentral
GACAGAGGCCUCAAGCGUUAGGCGGAAUCACUGGGCUUAAAGCGUGUGUAGGCGGAUCGUUAAGUGUCUUGUGAAAUCCCACGGCUCACCCGUGGAACGGCUGGGCAUACUGGCGAUCUUGGGCCAACUAGGGGCAACUGGAACAAGCGGUGGAGCGGUGAAAUGCGUAGAUAUCGCUUGGAACGCCAAAGGUGAAAACAGGUUGCUGGGGUUGUGCCGACGCUGAGACAUGAAAGCCAGGGGAGCAAACGGG